GCCCUCUUCGCAUAGUGGUCGAUUGCACGUCACUUGUAAUGAUGUUCCGCAAGGACACGUCCGUUCGAAUCGGACAGAGGGCUCA
Molecule: transfer RNA, 85 nt
Filed under: Caudoviricetes sp.
Lineage: Duplodnaviria; Heunggongvirae; Uroviricota; Caudoviricetes
Description: tRNA-Thr
Rfam family: tRNA
About the family: Transfer RNA (tRNA) molecules are approximately 80 nucleotides in length. Their secondary structure includes four short double-helical elements and three loops (D, anti-codon, and T loops).
Source: RNAcentral